Molecule: ribosomal RNA, 483 nt
Filed under: uncultured bacterium
Lineage: Bacteria
Description: partial 16S ribosomal RNA
Rfam family: Bacterial small subunit ribosomal RNA
Source: RNAcentral
GAUGAACGCUGGCGGCGUGCCUAAUAUAUGCAAGUCGAGCGAACCACUUCGGUGGUGAGCGGCGAACGGGUGAGUAACACGUAGGUGAUCUGCCCAUCAGACGGGGACAACGAUUGGAAACGAUCGCUAAUACCGGAUAGGACGAAAGUUUAAAGGUGCUUCUGGCACCGCUGAUGGAUGAGCCUGCGGCGCAUUAGCUAGUUGGUAGGGUAAAGGCCUACCAAGGCGACGAUGCGUAGCCGACCUGAGAGGGUGAACGGCCACACUGGGACAGAGACACGGCCCAGACUCCUACGGGAGGCAGCAGUAGGGAAUCUUCGGCAAUGGGCGAAAGCCUGACCGAGCAACGCCGCGUGAAUGAUGAAGGCCUUCGGGUUGUAAAAUUCUGUUAUAAGGGAAGAACGACUUUAGUAGGAAAUGGCUAGAGUGUGACGGUACCUUAUGAGAAAGCCACGGCUAACUACGUGCCAGCAGCCGCCGUAA